AAGCAAGCGGCACCAUGAAGACCAAGGAGCUCUCCAAACAGAAAUCCAAGGACUCCGGCAGGAAAACAAAUUUCUGACGCACUGAGAGAAGAAGUUAAGGUGCUAAGGUGUGGGCAAGGACGUCCGGGUGGUAUCGGAUCACUGAGUGAAGAGGUGGUGCAGGUUGCUACCAUGCUAAGGACAUUUGCUGCUACUGGGCAAUCAGAUCCAAUAUAACACUUUUGCUGCGGCAUAUGGGAACAGUGGAUGAUCGAACUCUUGAGAUGGAUAACAAGAUGAAUACCUUGUUAGCCUAUCAACAGGCCAAUGGGAGCCAUUCAGCAGAACACUGAAAUCCAGGAUGCCAUGGACAAAGUGGUCCAGAUUCAAGUCACCCGUUACCUGAAAGGGGCCUCCGAUCAUGAAGGUGAGAGAAGACGGCGCACAGGGUGGAGAAAUUUGCUCCAGUGCGGGUCAACAUCAAGUCUGCCCUUAUUUUGAAGAUGUCAUCCAGAAACAGGUGUUUUAUACAACAUCCUUCUGUGUUCUCUUUAGGACUCUCUCUACAUUUGGCAAUCAUCUCUCUGCUUCCAAUUGUAUAAAAAAAGCCACAUGGCAGACCAAUCUGAACUCAUUUCUCGGCAUGUCCAGCUCAUCCAACACCUCAGCUAAUCAUGACUAGUGGGAAGGUUCCUGUAUUUUUCUAUGCUCGUAAUUUAGCAAUUGUGUUCAAAAUAUGCAUUUUGAUAAAACAAUAAAGAAAAUGAAUGCCUCACAUGUAGUAGUGAGGUUUGACAUUCAAACGGGUUUUAUUUU
This is a long non-coding RNA of Oncorhynchus tshawytscha (Chinook salmon), 795 nucleotides long. The record is from Ensembl. Lineage: Eukaryota; Metazoa; Chordata; Actinopteri; Salmoniformes; Salmonidae.